UGAGUUUGAUCCUGGCUCAGGAUGAACGCUAGCGACAGGCCUAACACAUGCAAGUCGAGGGGUAACAGGGAAGCUUGCUUCCGCUGACGACCGGCGCACGGGUGCGUAACGCGUAUGAAACCUGCCUUAUACUGGGGGAUAGCCCGAAGAAAUUCGGAUUAAUACCCCAUAAGAUUAUUGAUUGGCAUCAAUUAAUAAUUAAAACUCCGGUGGUAUAAGAUGGUCAUGCGUGACAUUAGCUAGUUGGUAAGGUAACGGCUUACCAAGGCGACGAUGUCUAGGGGUUCUGAGAGGAAGGUCCCCCACACUGGUACUGAGACACGGACCAGACUCCUACGGGAGGCAGCAGUGAGGAAUAUUGGUCAAUGGACGCAAGUCUGAACCAGCCAUGUCGCGUGCAGGAAGACUGCCCUAUGGGUUGUAAACUGCUUUUAUAUGGGAAGAAAUAUAGUUACGUGUAAUUAUUUGCCGGUACCAUAUGAAUAAGCAUCGGCUNNCUCCGUGCCAGCAGCCGCGGUAAUACGGAGGAUGCGAGCGUUAUCCGGAUUCAUUGGGUUUAAAGGGUGCGUAGGCGGAAUA
This 579-nucleotide ribosomal RNA is filed under the name uncultured Cytophagales bacterium. Its description in RNAcentral is "bacterial SSU rRNA". It matches the Rfam family "Bacterial small subunit ribosomal RNA", at positions 1 to 582 of the family's 1533-position model. Lineage: Bacteria; Pseudomonadati; Bacteroidota; Sphingobacteriia; Sphingobacteriales. The record is from RNAcentral.